RNAcentral lists this microRNA precursor (65 nucleotides) under Microcaecilia unicolor. Its description in RNAcentral is "Mun-Mir-17-P2c_pre stem-loop". It matches the Rfam family "mir-17 microRNA precursor family", at positions 11 to 80 of the family's 80-position model. From Rfam's summary of the family: This family represents the microRNA (miRNA) precursor mir-17, family, which includes mir-20, mir-91, and mir-103. miRNAs are transcribed as ~70nt precursors (modelled here) and subsequently processed by the Dicer enzyme to give a ~22nt product. Lineage: Eukaryota; Metazoa; Chordata; Amphibia; Gymnophiona; Siphonopidae. The record is from RNAcentral.
UAAGGUGCAUCUAGUGCAGUUAGUGGCGUAGUCUAGAAUCUACUGCCCUAAAUGCUCCUUCUGGC